GGUGGCUUAGUGGUUAAGAUUUUGGCUGUUAACCAAAAGGUUGGCAGUUCAAAUCCACCAGCCACUC
This 67-nucleotide transfer RNA is filed under the name Loxodonta africana (African savanna elephant). It matches the Rfam family "tRNA". Rfam says of the family: Transfer RNA (tRNA) molecules are approximately 80 nucleotides in length. Their secondary structure includes four short double-helical elements and three loops (D, anti-codon, and T loops). Further hydrogen bonds mediate the characteristic L-shaped molecular structure. tRNAs have two regions of fundamental functional importance: the anti-codon, which is responsible for specific mRNA codon recognition, and the 3' end, to which the tRNAs corresponding amino acid is attached (by aminoacyl-tRNA synthetases). tRNAs cope with the degeneracy of the genetic code in two manners: having more than one tRNA (with a specific anti-codon) for a particular amino acid; and 'wobble' base-pairing, i.e. permitting non-standard base-pairing at the 3rd anti-codon position. The record is from Rfam by way of RNAcentral. Lineage: Eukaryota; Metazoa; Chordata; Mammalia; Proboscidea; Elephantidae.